Molecule: ribosomal RNA, 564 nt
Filed under: Fusarium oxysporum f. sp. ciceris
Lineage: Eukaryota; Fungi; Ascomycota; Sordariomycetes; Hypocreales; Nectriaceae
Description: SSU rRNA
Rfam family: Bacterial small subunit ribosomal RNA
Source: RNAcentral
UAGGACUGGCCGUCCCAUAUGAAAAGAUUAUAUUAGAAUUGAAUGAAGCUUUGUUUAUAUAUUGAUUCUCGUCAAAAGAUAUAUCGUGUCUUGACUAAUUGCGUGCCAGCAGUCGCGGUAAUACGUAAGAGACUAGUGUUAUUCAUCUUAAUUAGGUUUAAAGGGUACCCAGACGGUCAAUAUAGCUUAUAAAAUGUUAGUACUUGACUAGAGUUUUAUGUAAGAGGGCAGUACUUGAGGAGGAGAGAUGAAAUUUCGUGAUACCAAAGGGACUCUGUAAAGGCGAAGGCAGCCCUCUAUGUAAAAACUGACGUUGAAGGACGAAGGCACAGAGAACAAACAGGAUUAGAUACCCAAGUAGUCUUUGCAGUAAAUGAUGAAUGCCAUAGGUUAGAUGGGUGGGCUCGUCUAGUUGAGUUAGUUUAGCAAACUAAUGAUCUAGACGAGCCCACCGUAUAUUUGGUCUAUAAAUGAAAGUGUAAGCAUUUCACCUCAAGAGUAAUGUGGCAACGCAGGAACUGAAAUCACUAGACCGUUUCUGACACCAGUAGUGAAGUAUGUUAU